GACGAACGCUGGCGGCGUGCCUAAUACAUGCAAGUAGAACGCACAGUUUAUACCGUAGCUUGCUACACCAUAGACUGUGAGUUGCGAACGGGUGAGUAACGCGUAGGUAACCUGCCUGGUAGCGGGGGAUAACUAUUGGGAACGAUAGCUAAUACCGCAUAAUAUUAAUUAUUGCAUGAUAAUUAAUUGAAAGGUGCAAUUGCACCACUACCAGAUGGACCUGCGUUGUAUUAGCUAGUAGGUGAGGUAACGGCUCACCUAGGCGACGAUACAUAGCCGACCUGAGAGGGUGAUCGGCCACACUGGGACUGAGACACGGCCCAGACUCCUACGGGAGGCAGCAGUAGGGAAUCUUCGGCAAUAGACGAAAGUCUGACCGAGCAACGCCGCGUGAGUGAAGAAGGUUUUCGGAUCGUAAAGCUCUGUUGUAAGAGAAGAACGGGUGUGAGAGUGGAAAGUUCACACUGUGACGGUAUCUUACCAGAAAGGGACGGCUAACUACGUG
Molecule: ribosomal RNA, 505 nt
Filed under: uncultured bacterium
Lineage: Bacteria
Description: partial 16S ribosomal RNA
Rfam family: Bacterial small subunit ribosomal RNA
Source: RNAcentral